RNAcentral lists this ribosomal RNA (502 nucleotides) under uncultured bacterium. RNAcentral describes it as "partial 16S ribosomal RNA". It matches the Rfam family "Bacterial small subunit ribosomal RNA", at positions 899 to 1397 of the family's 1533-position model. The record is from RNAcentral.
ACUCAAAUGAAUUGACGGGGGCCCGCACAAGCGGUGGAGCAUGUGGUUUAAUACGUCACUAACCGUAGAACCUUACCCAGGCUUGACAUCUGGGGAAUCCCGGUGAAAGCUGGGAGUGCUUCGUAAGAAGAACCCCAAGACAGGUGUUGCAUGGCUGUCGUCAGCUCGUGUCGUGAGAUGUUGGGUUAAGUCCCGCAACGAGCGCAACCCUCAUCCGAUGUUGCCAGCGUAAAGUCGGGAACUCUUCGGAAACUGCCCGUGUAAGCGGGAGGAAGGUGGGGAUGACGUCAAGUCAGCAUGGCCCUUACGCCUGGGGCUACACACAUGCUACAAUGGAUGUUAACAAAGGGCAGCAAGACCGCGAGGUGGAGCUAAUCUCAAAAAUACAUCCUCAGUUCGGAUCGCAGUCUGCAACUCGACUGCGUGAAGUCGGAAUCGCUAGUAACCGCAGGUCAGCUAAACUGCGGUGAAUACGUUCCCGGGCCUUGUACACACCGCCCGU